UAUUACACACGCAUUUGUUGUGCGAUAAAUAUCAUCGAGGUAGAACGUUUCAGACUUUAGCGAGGAGUGAAACGUUUCAAUUGGGGAAUUAUCAGCGG
This is a non-coding RNA of Lysinibacillus xylanilyticus, 98 nucleotides long. The record is from Rfam. NCBI's taxonomy places the organism in Bacteria, Bacillati, Bacillota, Bacilli, Caryophanales, Bacillaceae.